CCUACGGGAGGCAGCAGUGAGGAAUAUUGGUCAAUGGACGCAAGUCUGAACCAGCCAUGCCGCGUGCAGGAAGACGGCUCUAUGAGUUGUAAACUGCUUUUGUACGAGGGUAAAUCCCGAUACGUGUAUCGGGUUGAAAGUAUCGUACGAAUAAGGAUCGGCUAACUCCGUGCCAGCAGCCGCGGUAAUACGGAGGAUUCAAGCGUUAUCCGGAUGUAUUGGGUUUAAAGGGUGCGUAGGCGGUUCGAUAAGUUAGAGGGGAAAUCCCGGGGCUCAACUCCGGCACUGCCUCUGAUACGGACGGGCUAGAGUGUAGUAGCGGGAGGUGGAAUGUAAGGGGUAGCGGUGAAAUGCAGAGAGAGGA
RNAcentral lists this ribosomal RNA (364 nucleotides) under uncultured bacterium. RNAcentral describes it as "partial 16S ribosomal RNA". It matches the Rfam family "Bacterial small subunit ribosomal RNA", at positions 338 to 705 of the family's 1533-position model. The record is from RNAcentral.